Molecule: ribosomal RNA, 883 nt
Filed under: Pseudomonas sp.
Lineage: Bacteria; Pseudomonadati; Pseudomonadota; Gammaproteobacteria; Pseudomonadales; Pseudomonadaceae
Description: bacterial SSU rRNA
Rfam family: Bacterial small subunit ribosomal RNA
Source: RNAcentral
CAUGCAAGUCGAGCGGUAGAGAGAAGCUUGCUUCUCUUGAGAGCGGCGGACGGGUGAGUAAUGCCUAGGAAUCUGCCUGGUAGUGGGGGAUAACGUUCGGAAACGGACGCUAAUACCGCAUACGUCCUACGGGAGAAAGCAGGGGACCUUCGGGCCUUGCGCUAUCAGAUGAGCCUAGGUCGGAUUAGCUAGUUGGUGAGGUAAUGGCUCACCAAGGCGACGAUCCGUAACUGGUCUGAGAGGAUGAUCAGUCACACUGGAACUGAGACACGGUCCAGACUCCUACGGGAGGCAGCAGUGGGGAAUAUUGGACAAUGGGCGAAAGCCUGAUCCAGCCAUGCCGCGUGUGUGAAGAAGGUCUUCGGAUUGUAAAGCACUUUAAGUUGGGAGGAAGGGCCAUUACCUAAUACGUGAUGGUUUUGACGUUACCGACAGAAUAAGCACCGGCUAACUCUGUGCCAGCAGCCGCGGUAAUACAGAGGGUGCAAGCGUUAAUCGGAAUUACUGGGCGUAAAGCGCGCGUAGGUGGUUUGUUAAGUUGGAUGUGAAAUCCCCGGGCUCAACCUGGGAACUGCAUUCAAAACUGACUGACUAGAGUAUGGUAGAGGGUGGUGGAAUUUCCUGUGUAGCGGUGAAAUGCGUAGAUAUAGGAAGGAACACCAGUGGCGAAGGCGACCACCUGGACUGAUACUGACACUGAGGUGCGAAAGCGUGGGGAGCAAACAGGAUUAGAUACCCUGGUAGUCCACGCCGUAAACGAUGUCAACUAGCCGUUGGGAGCCUUGAGCUCUUAGUGGCGCAGCUAACGCAUUAAGUUGACCGCCUGGGGAGUACGGCCGCAAGGUUAAAACUCAAAUGAAUUGACGGGGGCCCGCACAAGCGG